This 468-nucleotide ribosomal RNA is filed under the name uncultured bacterium. RNAcentral's name for it is "partial 16S ribosomal RNA". It matches the Rfam family "Bacterial small subunit ribosomal RNA", at positions 28 to 507 of the family's 1533-position model. The record is from RNAcentral.
GACGAACGCUGGCGGCGUGCUUAACACAUGCAAGUCGAACGGAAAGGCCCUGCUUUUGUGGGGUGCUCGAGUGGCGAACGGGUGAGUAACACGUGAGUAACCUGCCCUUGACUUUGGGAUAACUUCAGGAAACUGGGGCUAAUACCGGAUAGGAGCUCCUGCUGCAUGGUGGGGGUUGGAAAGUUUCGGCGGGUGGGGAUGGACUCGCGGCUUAUCAGCUUGUUGGUGGGGUAGUGGCUUACCCAGGCAUUGACGGGUAGCCGGCCUGAGAGGGUGACCGGCCACAUUGGGACUGAGGUAGGCACCAGCCUCCUACGGGGGGCAGCAGUGGGGAGUAUUGCACAAUGGGCGGAAGCGUGAUGAAGCAGCGCCGCGUGCGGGAUGACGGCCUUCGGGUUGUAAACCGCUUUCGCCUGUGACGAAGCGUGAGUGACGGUAAUGGGUAAAGAAGCACCGGCUAACUACGUG